This 748-nucleotide long non-coding RNA is filed under the name Homo sapiens (human). RNAcentral describes it as "non-protein coding lnc-DEPDC4-1:1". The record is from RNAcentral. Lineage: Eukaryota; Metazoa; Chordata; Mammalia; Primates; Hominidae.
ACGGGGUCAAACACUGUUGCCCAGGCUGGAGUGCAGUGACGCAAUCCUAACUGACUGUAACCUCAAACUCCUGGACUCAAGCCAUCUCCCUACCUUGGCCACCCAAAGUGGUAGAAUUACAGAGGAAGGCUGAGGCAGGAGGAUUGCUUAAACGCAGGAGUCUGCAGCUGCAAUGAACUGUGAUCCCACUACUGCAUUCCAGCCUGGGUGGACAGAACAAGGCCCUGUCUCUAUUUUAAAAUAAUAAUAACACAAAAAUGCCCCUCCCCCAUUUUUUUUUAAAGUUCAGUAUGUAACAAGUUCUAUACUGGAUCCUUUCUUUCUCUAAUAAUCCUCAAGAAAUCCUUACAGGUAAGUAUUGCUUCCGCCACUGCAGAGGCGAAAGCCAGUGCUUUGGUAAAGGUCCUAGUCUUUCUGGCUUUAACACAGAAAGUCUUAAUACCAUUUGGAUUAAAGAUUCACAAGUUAGGCCGGGCGCGGUGGCUCAUGCCUGUAAUCCCAGCACUUUGGGAGGCCGAGACAGGCAGAUCACGAGGUCAGGAGAUCGAGACCAUCCUGGCUAACACGGUGAAACCCUGUCUCUACUAAAAAUACAAAAAACUAGCCAGCCUGGUGGCGGGCGCCUGUAGUCCCAGCUACUUGGAAGGCUGAGGCAGGAGAAUGGCGUGAACCCGGGAGGCAGAGCUUGCAGUGAGCCAAGAUCACGCCACUGCAUUCCAGCCUGGACGACAGAGCGAGACUCCGUCUC